AACGAAACCCUCAGGGUUUCCGUUAGGAUGGAAUGGAAAAUAUCCCGCUGUACAACGUGACGUGACGGUAGGGAGUAGGCUACAGGAUUGGAGGAUUCUAAAUUGUUUACCUUCAAGAGACAACUUUUUUCCAAUAUUUCUGUAAAUCAGUUAUAUUUAUUCCCAUAGUAAUUCGUUAUGGAUCCAUAACUAAAUCAACCUCUGCAAUUUGAAAGAGUAUUAUUUUACGAAAUGUGUUUAUUUGUUUAGUAGGCAACUGUGCAGUCUACAAUACAUACUGUAGUAAACAUGGGAAAGUGCCUAAUUCCUUACAUAAGGGAAAGCAGGCUAUGUCUGUACUACAGAAUGCAGGGCACGCGGGAGAUCGGUGUUAUUUCGUAGUUGUGAUGUCUUCGCUAUUAUUUUACAAUGUAGAAAAUAGUAAAAAUAACAAUACUGGAAUGAGUAGGCGUGUCCAAAACUUCUGACUGGUACUUGCUUAAUUCAUUUGAUUAAUAUUACGGUGAUUCUAUUCUAUGAAAAAUGAAAAACCCUCUGGGUUUCCAUUAGGAUGGAACAGAAAAUAUGGCGCUGUACAAUGCCCAUAAAUUCUGAGCAUUGUCAGUUUGUAAAUUCAGACUGUUGAGCUCUCAGUGCGCACACUGGACGUUCAGGCCAAUGAGUAGUGUUGAUUUGAGCAUUCUGGCCUUACAACGGCAGUCAAGCACUCAAGCUAACGUUGGCUAGCUACUUCCAGACACAAAUUUACUUGCUCAAGCAGAGCUAGUCAGGCAGUUUUCGUGUUACCCGGAGCAUUGGUGACUGUGCUGCUGGAAACAAUUUAAUUACGCAUUUUUGCCGACUUUACUGACACUGGCCAUAUUCAACCGGUGUUGAGUAAGUUCAUUAUUCUGCGCUCUGGUACACUCAGAUGAGAGUGCUCUGAAAUCGGUGUAGAUGGCCAGAGCGAAUUUAUGAAAGCACCCAAAUGUCCAUUGAGAACGCACAACAACUAUACCAUUUAGCUAAGCUAAGAAUGAUGGGAAUAAUCAAGUCAAUAAACGUUGGGUAGUCAGAUAGCCCAUAGUUAAUAUACUGGCAAGUUUAAUGUAUAACUACUAACAUUAGGUAGAUAGCUAACAUACCAGUACGUACUGCUGUAAUGAUGUGCUAUGUGGUUCGUAAGGACAGCGUAGCUAACAAAUUGUCAGCCAACAUAACGUGUAAGGUAACUUAUUUGAAAAGUCAUUACUUUAUUACAUUGAGUAGCAAGCUAUCCCUUGGUCAUUAGGGCAAAUCUGUUUUGUUUUUUCACACCGACCUCGGAAAUUAGACUAUUCUUUAGUAAAGGUUGCAUAGUCUAUUGUUCAGCUAUUAGCCCCCCUCCCCAACUUGCAACAAAUUGUUGUUGUUCCCAUCUCGUUCCUUUCCCUCUUCCACGCGUCAUCAUUCUGCGCCUGAGUGGCUCACUUCUGGGCGUGCUGGCAGGAUAUGGCAGCAUCUUCGGUCGUGAGUCAAGAAUUCUGCAUACAGUAGCAGGAAGUCAUAGCGGACACCUACGAAGAAGGACUAUGUGAUGAUGGAAUCUCAGGAGGAUGAAAGAACACAAUAUGUCUGUCACGAAGAGUUUUUGCAGCGUGGAGAGGGUGCAGAGAGCGAGCUGAUCAAGGGGUCAAAAAUGUAGAUAUUUCCAGAUGUUCACUGUCCGAGGAACAGGCCGUGGAAGCUUUACUGUGGCAAAAGUGUCCAUAACCAGAGGUUAUAUCAGCUGUAUUGAUGAACCCCUACCGCAUCUGAACUGGCUGACACAGAGGGCACAGCA
Molecule: long non-coding RNA, 1801 nt
Organism: Oncorhynchus tshawytscha (Chinook salmon)
Lineage: Eukaryota; Metazoa; Chordata; Actinopteri; Salmoniformes; Salmonidae
Exons: 5
Source: RefSeq, a predicted model, not a curated record